This is a long non-coding RNA of Orcinus orca (killer whale), 379 nucleotides long. RefSeq lists it as uncharacterized. The record is from RefSeq and is a predicted model, not a curated record. The transcript has 3 exons. Lineage: Eukaryota; Metazoa; Chordata; Mammalia; Artiodactyla; Delphinidae.
AUUUGCAUGAAAUAUCUUUUUCCAUCUCCUUACUUUCAGUGUGUAUGUGUCUCUAGGUCUGAAGUGGGUCUCUUGUAGACAGCAAAUAUAUGGGUCUUGUUUUUGUAUCCAUUCAGCCAAUCUGUGUCUUUUGGUGGGAGCAUUUAGUCCAUUUCCAUUUAAGGUAAUUAUCGAUAUGUAUGUUCCUAUUCCCAUUUUCUUAAUUGUUUUGGGUUUGUUAUUGUAGGUCUUUUCCUUCUUUGUGUUUCUUGCCUAGAGAAGUUCCUUUAGCAGUUGUUGUAGAGCUGGUUUGGUGGUGCUGAACUCUCUCAGCUUUUGCUUGUCUGUAAAGGUUUUAAUUUCUCCAUCAAAUCUGAAUGAGAUCCUUGCUGGGUAGAGU